CGGGGUGUGGCUCAGUUGGUAGAGCACCGCGUUCGGGACGCGGGGGCCGUGGGUUCGAAUCCCGUCACUCCGA
Molecule: transfer RNA, 73 nt
Filed under: Pseudobutyrivibrio xylanivorans
Lineage: Bacteria; Bacillati; Bacillota; Clostridia; Lachnospirales; Lachnospiraceae
Description: tRNA-Pro
Rfam family: tRNA
About the family: Transfer RNA (tRNA) molecules are approximately 80 nucleotides in length. Their secondary structure includes four short double-helical elements and three loops (D, anti-codon, and T loops).
Source: RNAcentral